UACGGAGGGUGCAAGCGUUGUCCGGAUUUACUGGGUUUAAAGGGUGCGUAGGUGGGUAGGAAAGUCAGUGGUGAAAUCUUCGGGCUUAACCCGGAAACUGCCAUUGAUACUAUUUAUCUUGAAUACUUUGGAGGUAAGCGGAAUAUGUCAUGUAGCGGUGAAAAUGCUUAGAUAUGACAUAGAACACCAAAUUGCGAAGGCAGCUUACUACACAGUUAUUGACACUGAGGCACGAAAAGCUGGGGGAUCAAAACAGGGAUUUAGAAA
RNAcentral lists this ribosomal RNA (267 nucleotides) under uncultured bacterium. RNAcentral's name for it is "partial 16S ribosomal RNA". It matches the Rfam family "Bacterial small subunit ribosomal RNA", at positions 524 to 784 of the family's 1533-position model. The record is from RNAcentral.